RNAcentral lists this unclassified non-coding RNA (223 nucleotides) under plant metagenome. RNAcentral's name for it is "partial contains small subunit ribosomal RNA and internal transcribed spacer 1". The stretch from base 1 to 47 matches the Rfam family "Eukaryotic small subunit ribosomal RNA", at positions 1785 to 1831 of the family's 1831-position model. The record is from RNAcentral.
AAAGUCGUAACAAGGUUUCCGUAGGUGAACCUGCGGAAGGAUCAUUAUUGAAAAAGACAGGACGCCCGUUUUUCGUAAAUGGGUUCAAUACCACAACCGUGUAUACCUUACCUUUGUUGCUUUGGCAGGCCGCCUCCGGGCGUUGGCUUCGGCUGAUAGCGCCUGCCAGAGGACCCGAACUCUGUGUCUAGUGAUGUCUGAGUAAUAUAUAAUAUUUUAAAAC